RNAcentral lists this long non-coding RNA (405 nucleotides) under Malus domestica (apple). RNAcentral's name for it is "long non-coding RNA (MDOM_LNC013065)". The record is from RNAcentral. Lineage: Eukaryota; Viridiplantae; Streptophyta; Magnoliopsida; Rosales; Rosaceae.
AUAUGAGUGCACACCCCCAAGUUCAUGCAAUAUUUAACUAUUUGAGACAAUUACUUAUUACUUAACAUAUUUUUGUGGCCAACACUUCUUUUUUCUCUAUUUCAAAGAGACUUCGACUUUGACCUGGAAGUGUCAGGCAUGUCGAAGUACAUAACCCGACAGUGGAAUGAUCAGUUUAAGGAGUGGAAGUACAAGCUACGCAAUCACUACUUGACUUUUGAAAGUCACUAUGAAGCCCUGAUCCAUCCACCAAACGAGUGGCACUGGCUCUGCAGUUAUCUUCGAAAUUUAUAAAUUCUGAAAAUGGACGUCUUCUAGCGUGAAGAAGUUUCCCAUUAAGAAUAAAUUUGUUUUUCAAUUUUAAUACAAUUGUACGAGUAUUUUGGUUUUAUUAAUGAAAAUAUU